CAUAUAGCCCAUCUUGUAUUUUGCACAUUUCCUGUGUGUUUUGUACAGUUCAGAAUUGUUCAAAGUUUUUUUUUUCACCAUUUUUCUUUGCUUUAUUUGACACUUGGCAGAGUCAAAUUGGGCUCAAAAUUGGCACAUGUAGGGAAGAGUAGAAACUACAUCUCACUAAAAUUUUGGCCCCUUCAAACCUGCCACGUGGCAGAUAUGGCUGACGGAGCUGCACUGCAACUCGCCCAGAUUUGCAGCCACUCACCCAAAAAUAAGUAUGAGAAAUAGGGGUGGGGUGUAGAGAGAGAGUCUGC
Telopea speciosissima is the source of this 302-nucleotide long non-coding RNA. RefSeq lists it as uncharacterized. NCBI's taxonomy places the organism in Eukaryota, Viridiplantae, Streptophyta, Magnoliopsida, Proteales, Proteaceae. The record is from RefSeq and is a predicted model, not a curated record. The transcript has 3 exons.